UGAGGAAUAUUGGUCAAUGGGCGCGAGCCUGAACCAGCCAAGUCGCGUGAGGGAUGACGGCCCUACGGGUUGUAAACCUCUUUGUCGGGGAGCAAAUUCCGCCACGUGUGGCGGAGUCGAGAGUACCCGAAGAAAAAGCAUCGGCUAACUCCGUGCC
RNAcentral lists this ribosomal RNA (157 nucleotides) under uncultured bacterium. Its description in RNAcentral is "partial 16S ribosomal RNA". It matches the Rfam family "Bacterial small subunit ribosomal RNA", at positions 355 to 509 of the family's 1533-position model. The record is from RNAcentral.